AUCUGCUUCCUCUUACGCCCCCUCGCCUGCCGCGGACCUGACAAACGCUGCUCCGGAAACUCAGUUCACCCAGGACCAAGACUUGCGGUACACCCUGGGAGGAGCCGCCGGCCCUUCCUGAACCGUUGCGCUGAUCUUUUUGUAAAAGUGAAUGUUAAAGGAACUGUUCUUGAAUGCGAAUGGAUGAUGUUCAUCCCUCCCAGAGAUGUACAGCAUUAUUUGGAGGCCGUCUUUUCCCGCUUCUCCACGACGGUCAGUGAGCUUUAGCCAUGUGCGAUUUCUUUGAGGGCUGCGUAAAUGUCUUAAAUCAAGCUACUUUCUUUCGUGCUGAUAUGUGUAAAGCAAGAGACUCGAUCCAGCUUGUGCUACUUCAUGCUUUCUGAUUCAAUACAAAGGCACGAGGAGAACUUGAAGUCAUUUGCAGUACUUGAGUGAGGCCUUUGUUUUCAAAGAUUU
Cyprinus carpio (common carp) is the source of this 456-nucleotide long non-coding RNA. RefSeq lists it as uncharacterized. Lineage: Eukaryota; Metazoa; Chordata; Actinopteri; Cypriniformes; Cyprinidae. The transcript is spliced from 2 exons. The record is from RefSeq and is a predicted model, not a curated record.